AUACGGAGGGUGCAAGCGUUAAUCGGAAUUACUGGGCGUAAAGCGUACGUAGGCGGUUUAUUAAGUCAGAUGUGAAAGCCCCGGGCUUAGCCUGGGAACUGCAUUUGAAACUAGUAGACUAGAGUAUGGUAGAGGGGGGUAGAAUUCCUAGUGUAGCGGUGAAAUGCGUAGAUAUUAGGAGGAAUACCAGUGGCGAAGGCGGCCCCCUGGACCAAUACUGACGCUGAGGUACGAAAGCGUGGGGAGCGAACAGGAUUAGAUACCCUAGUAGUCC
This 274-nucleotide ribosomal RNA is filed under the name uncultured bacterium. Its description in RNAcentral is "partial 16S ribosomal RNA". It matches the Rfam family "Bacterial small subunit ribosomal RNA", at positions 523 to 796 of the family's 1533-position model. The record is from RNAcentral.